RNAcentral lists this ribosomal RNA (506 nucleotides) under uncultured bacterium. Its description in RNAcentral is "partial 16S ribosomal RNA". The record is from RNAcentral.
GGAGUUAGCCGGUGCUUCUUCUGUGAGUGAUGUCCUUCCUGCCGGCUAUUAACCCGCAGGCCUUCUUCCUCACUGAAAGUGCUUUACAACCCGAAGGCCUUCUUCACACACGCGGCAUGGCUGGAUCAGGGUUGCCCCCAUUGUCCAAUAUUCCCCACUGCUGCCUCCCGUAGGAGUCUGGGCCGUGUCUCAGUCCCAGUGUGGCUGAUCAUCCUCUCAGACCAGCUACGGAUCGUCGCCUUGGUGAGCCGUUACCUCACCAACCAGCUAAUCCGACAUAGGCUCAUCCGAUAGCGCGAGGCCCGAAGGUCCCCCGCUUUCCCCCGUAGGGCGUAUGCGGUAUUAGCCUGGGUUUCCCCAGGUUAUCCCCCACUACCGGGCAGAUUCCUAUGCAUUACUCACCCGUCCGCCGCUCGCCACCAGGAGCAAGCUCCCCGUGCUGCCGCUCGACUUGCAUGUGUUAGGCCUGCCGCCAGCGUUCAAUCUGAGCCAUGAUCAAACUCUGA